Molecule: ribosomal RNA, 514 nt
Filed under: Alternaria sp.
Lineage: Eukaryota; Fungi; Ascomycota; Dothideomycetes; Pleosporales; Pleosporaceae
Description: eukaryotic LSU rRNA
Rfam family: 5.8S ribosomal RNA (bases 141-294)
Source: RNAcentral
CUCUCGGGGUUACAGCCUUGCUGAAUUAUUCACCCUUGUCUUUUGCGUACUUCUUGUUUCCUUGGUGGGUUCGCCCACCACUAGGACAAACAUAAACCUUUUGUAAUUGCAAUCAGCGUCAGUAACAAAUUAAUAAUUACAACUUUCAACAACGGAUCUCUUGGUUCUGGCAUCGAUGAAGAACGCAGCGAAAUGCGAUAAGUAGUGUGAAUUGCAGAAUUCAGUGAAUCAUCGAAUCUUUGAACGCACAUUGCGCCCUUUGGUAUUCCAAAGGGCAUGCCUGUUCGAGCGUCAUUUGUACCCUCAAGCUUUGCUUGGUGUUGGGCGUCUUGUCUCUAGCUUUGCUGGAGACUCGCCUUAAAGUAAUUGGCAGCCGGCCUACUGGUUUCGGAGCGCAGCACAAGUCGCACUCUCUAUCAGCAAAGGUCUAGCAUCCAUUAAGCCUUUUUUUCAACUUUUGACCUCGGAUCAGGUAGGGAUACCCGCUGAACUUAAGCAUAUCAAUAAGCGGAGG